AAUCAGGAGCAAAGUGCCCAGAGGGCAUCGUCCAUCUCAUUUUGAGUUACGAGUACUACUCUCAAAAUUUCCGGAUCCAAGAAAUAAGGGCAAACCUUUCUCCAGUCCCAUGGGUCAUAUAAUUUUUGCCAAACAUUUAGCAAUGAUAGACGGGAUGCUUCUGGUGGUGGUUUU
This is a non-coding RNA of Caenorhabditis elegans, 174 nucleotides long. NCBI's taxonomy places the organism in Eukaryota, Metazoa, Nematoda, Chromadorea, Rhabditida, Rhabditidae. The record is from Ensembl.